GGUACCUGGAAUCAAACUCAGGACCUUGUGCUUGCCAGGGAGGUGCUGUGCGGCUGAGCCACAUCCCUGGACCCUGAAGUCACACUGGCCCAGGGGAAGGAAGGGUGGAGGACAGCUCCUCUUCCGCUGCUCAGCACCUCCCAGCAUUGCAUUUCUCUCCCAAGCCUGCCAGAAGCUGCUGAGGGCAAGGCUGGGUCUCCACCCAAGACCGCCUCCUUCCCUGAGCCUUAAUCCCGGGCACUCAGCACACCUGCGGUCUGAACACUUUCCCUAGAGGAAACCCCUCUGUGUGAAGAUGGCAGGAUCGGAGGGUGGUCAGAAAAGGGGGUGUGCUGGGGGCACAGGAGACCCCCGAGUCCCAUCUGCCACCUCUGUCUCUCAGAAGAGCUGCGUGCCCACCACGCAGGCACUCGCGCGGGACAAACAGGAUCACAGGCAGACAGGAGGCACCGAUAACGAAGACAAAUCCUCAGACCAGCAGAGAUGUGGUUGCCAGCGUGGAAAUCCUGUGGGCCCUCCCUCGCUUUCUGGGCUUUGGAUAGAAGGCAGUGGCUGGAUGGAAGCUAAGAAUGGCUCCCUCCUCCAGAGAGACCUCGAUACACAGGCGGGGGAGGUGGCAGCCUGCAGGGGGGGCAGUCAGAGAGGGCUUCCUGGAAGAGGCGGAAUUUACAGGUGGGCAUGAUGUAGGCAUAUAUAAGCCCUCAGGCGGGGUGAGCCAGGCAUGCUAGAGGGAGACCAGGAAAGUCCCCUGGCUCUGGCGCCUGGAGGUGGAGGGGUUGAUCUGGUCUGGGUGUGCUCUGCGCUGUCAGGGGGCAGAUGAUUGCUUCCGGUUACGGUGGACAUAAAACCCAGUGCGCACACACCUCCUGCCCGCUCCCUUUCUGGGAUGCAAACCGCGCCUUCAUUGCUCCCUGACCUCAGAUCCUUCUCUUCCUCUGACACUUUCUGCCUCUGCAUCUCUUGUCUCUGUUCCCCUCUCCCGGGUCUCCACAAGUUCUGUGUCUUCUUGGGUCUCCCUGUCUCAGUUCCAUCUCCACUCUCUGUCUCUGUCUCUCUCUCCUCCCAGGCUUCUCUGUCACAGUUCCUCAGGGAAAGGCUUCUGCAGCCUCUGGGGCUUGCGCCUCGGUUUCCCUCUCCUGGGUUGGAACCUCAGCCCCUCCUCAAUCCAGGGAGGCUGCUCAGAGGUGCCCUGUGGGGAUGGUCGCCUGCGUCGCCUCGACCCCAUGGUUACCGCAGAGGCCACAGAGGCAGGGGAGGCUCCCCCUUCCUGCAGGGCCCCUCGGCCCCCGCUGGCUGCUCUGGGGCUACAGUGUGCAAGGGGCUCGAGGACUGGCCCCACCAUGGACAGAUAGGAGGCCCGGGAAGAGCUGCAGAGCAUUGAGCAGUACUGUCCCCUCCCAGGGAUUUGCUGGAGCCAGACAGGGCAGGAGGCCCAGAUUUAUUCACUUUGCUUGCUCCCCAGAGGCCGUUAAGUCCAGAGUGGCGGAAUUAAGUUGUAGGUUCAGCUGGGAAGACAGGUGAGCGGCUGGAGAGCUGAGCUGGGCCGCACUGCGCGAGCAGAGCUGGGCACCGGCCUGGCCCAUGCAGGAGGCUGCGGCCCUCGCUGCUCAGAGGCUGGAGGCCAGCUUUCCUGUUCCAUCCUGGACAGGGCAGGGGCCCCAAGACUUCACCUUGCAGCUGGAGUCAACCAGUCAGCUGAGGCUGUCACCAGGUUUGGGCAAAUUAGAGGUGACAGCCAUGCCCCUAACCUCCAUGGUGUGGCUAAUGAGGGCCUUCUGCUCUCGGGAAAUCAAUUUCCAGGAUGCUAAGGACACCCAGGACAGUGGGGGAUUGCCAGGGGAGGGGAGGACAACGAACCUUAAUGCCAGCUCAGGACGCCUGCCCUUCGUGCCCCCAACACUGGGCUGCUGUCUGGCUUCACCAAGGGCUCCAGGGGGCGAGACAAACCCACAUCCAUGGGCCUCCCUUUGAAAUGUGGCCAGGACUGGCAUUUAGGGGAAGGGCAGAGCUUCCUGAAUGCUACAGCCGCUCUCUUCCCUUCCUUGCUGACGUGACAGAACGUGGCAUGUGACCUCCGGGAGCGCCCCUACUGUUACAGGUUGGGGGAAUUACACGAAAUAGCAGACGCACAGAGCCCGCACGGCCUGCAGUGAGGUACGUGGAAUCCGUGGGGCGGGGCCACCGUGGGAGCAGCUUCCCUUGACCACUUGACACCAAGGCCCAAGGCCGUCUCUUCCACCUGCGCAGAGCAAGGUGAGCAGUGGCGGAGCCCCGCGCCGGGCCCAGCAGCAAGGCGGUCAUGGAGAAGACUGAGGCCGGGCCAGUGGCCAGUGCUUCCUCUACAGGGGGCCCACAGCGGGCGUGGGCACCUCAGCACACCCCAUGCUUCCUCCCAGCCCCUCAUAUUCAAGUCCCCAGUGGCUGCGGGGGCCACAGAUACGAUGGUCUGACUGUAACUUGUUUGCUUCUUUUCUGGACCCAAGGGCAGCCUGGCACCAUGCAGACCGCAUCCUUCUCAGACAGUUCCCUGAGUCUCCCUGCCCUCUCUGAACGAUGUGUGCGUCUGCUCUCUCUCCAUGCAGAAUACGCAAGGUCUCCCAGCUCACCGGCACUGUGGGACCUGUGCAGGGAGCAAAAGGAGCGUAGGGGAAGGCGCUAAUGAACCAGAUGAGGUGACAGGGCGGGGCGCGGGACCAACAGAAACUCAGUUCACAUGUACUAGGCAAGCGCUUCUCACAGGGUGAGGCAGGCGCUGGGGCGGGCGUGACGCACCCUUGUGGGCUGCAUGUUUUGGGAAUGUGUGUGUGCGCACGCGUGUGUGUGGGUGGGCAGGGUGGUACCAGCGUGGAAACUGAGGAGCCCCCCAUUGAUACUCGGGCGUUGCUUGCAGCCUGACCCUGAAGCCCGCGCCGGCCCGGCUGUGAGGGACGGUGAGGGGCCCCCCACUCUCACGCCGACGCAGACCCUCUACAGCGGGAGUCACGGGGUCAGGACGAGGUGCAGGGACACACACGUGCCCUCUACCGGCCACGGGGAAGCGUCAGUGAGUUACGUGGCUGCUGCAGGAAGCCUUCGUUUCCAGUUUGCCCAUUUUUCUUGCAACAAGUGUCCUUGCUGGUCUACCUCCUGUUCUUUCUCUUUCCACAGGGACAUGGAAAUGACAAUUUCGCUUUCUUCUUAGUAAGCCUACAAGGACUGUCAGAGGCAUCAGGGAGGGGGGGGACUGCGGCACCCCACAGCUUGUGAGCUAGCCCUUUGUGCGGGGAGGAGGGGGGGCGCUACUUAGCUGGACCAGCUUUUCCAGAAGAGGGCAGUUUGGGCAGACCUUCUGAUUGUUAAAAGCAAAGCCAGUACUCUGCUUUUCUUUUUAAGUGAGACUUCUCCACAUUUAAAACUACUGACAGUGAAUUGCAAGCAGUAAACCAGAUCAGGUCACUGCUAGACCAGCUUGUGACCUAUGACAUAGGCAAAUGUGCGACCCUCCAAGGACAGACGGCGUCGCACCUCCCGACGCGGACGCCCUCCUGCUCUGCGCCGCCUCCCUCCAGCUGCUCCAGCCGGCUCAGCCCCUGCACGCAGCCCGCGUUCCCAGCUGCUCCGAAGGCUGCGGGAAUUCAGGCGGCAUGGCCAGCCGAUGUGACAAAAACAGCAAGUCCCCGGCACACUGGGGAGGUGCUGGGAUGGGAGAGGGCGGCCGAGGGCUCAGAGGACCUUCCACGGUGUUAAUUUCUCAGGAAUGGAGAAAUGAGGAAGGCGGCUUAGCAACAGCUGGCUUUGGGCAGUGAGCAAUCCUGUCUGAAAAUAAAACAUUUUACAAUCCA
Molecule: long non-coding RNA, 3821 nt
Organism: Chinchilla lanigera (long-tailed chinchilla)
Lineage: Eukaryota; Metazoa; Chordata; Mammalia; Rodentia; Chinchillidae
Exons: 2
Source: RefSeq, a predicted model, not a curated record